Long non-coding RNA from Pseudopipra pipra, 426 nucleotides. RefSeq lists it as uncharacterized. The record is from RefSeq and is a predicted model, not a curated record. The transcript is spliced from 2 exons. NCBI's taxonomy places the organism in Eukaryota, Metazoa, Chordata, Aves, Passeriformes, Pipridae.
UAUAUUAUGACUUCUCCCUAAACAGUCUGCAAAUGAUGAUAACCUCAAAACUUUAUCUCUUGGAGACAGAUCAGAGCUCUGGGCUGCAAGGCAGGUGUUCUCUCCCCCCCAGUCUGUGGAGUGGGCACACACUGGAACCAUCUCUGUCACCCCAGCUGCAACCAGGCCAAGGGAUGUCCCAGCGCCAGCUCCUGGUGUCUUUGUAAGGAAGCAGGCAGGGAAGGCAGUUGCAGAAAAGAAAAUCCAAGAUUCAACAGUACCAGAGCACACUAGGAAUAGAGCCCAUCUGAAGAGUGUCAGUGGAGCAGAUCUGUGAAAACAUAGCCUUCUUCUGCACAGAGGUGAAAACUAUACUCUCAAUAUCCCUUCUUUAUAAGAACUGAACAGCAAAAAAAAUUACUGCUGAAUUGAAACUUUUUAAAAAGA